This 30-nucleotide non-coding RNA is filed under the name Mus musculus (house mouse). Lineage: Eukaryota; Metazoa; Chordata; Mammalia; Rodentia; Muridae. The record is from RNAcentral.
UGGGUGUCUGAGCCAUCUUUGCUCUUAAGC